CUCACUUCACCUUCCUGCUGGUGCAAACCCUUUUUCAUUGCUCAGAACAUUUAACACCUGUGAGGAGAGGGUAAAGGGUCCUUCUCUGCACAGGCACUUUGGGAACAAUAAAUACCAUCCUACAAAUAUUUUUGCAGAAGGACAUGUAGUGGCCCUGAUUUCUGUCCUCUUCCCUCAGCCCACUGUUUGGAAAUGCAUCUUGAAGAAGACUGAAGUUUAUCUUCUGUGGCUCAGACUCUGAAAAGUCACCCACCAGUGACAACAUGCAGAUUGUUUCAAGAAAUGCCCAGUUUUCAUGGGCCCGUCGUGGGGUGAUGGAUGGCUGGGGACGCCCAGCGAGGAUAUCUGUCUCCACCAAGGCUCUGGGUGCUCCCUGGCUGCCCUUUCCCAGCCACCAGCAGAGUUUCCAGCGUGGAGGGGGAUCUAUAAAACAUGACUUGUAAAGAGAAAGAGCUGGCAUUUGACUCCUGAAGGGAAAGAGAUGGUGGAGAGCUGCGAAGAAGAUGGAUGCCCCCCUCCCCGAAAUAUAAAGAAAUAUGUGCAGAAAAUGAAAGAGAUUUAAAGCAGCUAUCAAUCGGUCGCUGUUCCAGCUUUAAGAGCUGUUGAAACAACAUAAUAAAAGGCAAUAAACAAGAGAUUUAUGACCUACC
This 650-nucleotide long non-coding RNA is filed under the name Chloebia gouldiae (Gouldian finch). RNAcentral's name for it is "Erythrura gouldiae (Gouldian finch) lncRNA (ENSEGOG00005007359.1)". The record is from RNAcentral. Lineage: Eukaryota; Metazoa; Chordata; Aves; Passeriformes; Passeridae.